UUUUGAUGUGUAGAAAUAUUUAUAAUGAUCAACUCUGUACAUUUAAGUUACCAACUUCAUUUCUUUUAGGAUGUUUCAUUAAUUUCCAUAUGCACUUCAGGAAAAAUCUGCCUAAGGAGGAGUAUAGAAGGGUAUCCACAAAUAUGUCCACUGACUUGUGUUUGAGCUGACUCCUGGAAAAAAGAGUGGCUAUUUGUACAGCUUCUGAGUUAGGGAGAUUAAGGAGAAUGGGAAAGCUGAAGGACGGCUAAAAGACAAAGCUUGCAGGGGAUGCUCUGACAUACAGCCAAGAUGGACAAAGGAGAAGGACAAGAAAAAAAACUGGGAGGAAGACUAUGAGCCUUCAGCAUGAAAGAUCCCCAGAGACCCCCAGAGGGACCACCAGAGACUCAUACGCAUGCUCCAGUAGGAGGGUUUGGAUUCCGGAAACUAAUUAUAAUAACCCUGUUUUUUCUAGAAGUAGCAAUGAGUAUGUAUUAGUAUAGGAACAUAGAAAUCAGCAUCUUGAUAUAACGUGUGUGUGUCUUGGUGGAGCAGAGACUUCCAGUGCACCCAGCGCUGUUUGCUUACCUCUAUUCAUUUAAUAAAUUGUAAACUUUGAUUAUAAUCCUGUUUUGG
RNAcentral lists this long non-coding RNA (618 nucleotides) under Anas platyrhynchos platyrhynchos (common mallard). RNAcentral describes it as "lncRNA (ENSAPLG00000024604.1)". Lineage: Eukaryota; Metazoa; Chordata; Aves; Anseriformes; Anatidae. The record is from RNAcentral.